This 516-nucleotide long non-coding RNA is filed under the name Ananas comosus (pineapple). RNAcentral's name for it is "long non-coding RNA (ACOM_LNC015386)". The record is from RNAcentral. Lineage: Eukaryota; Viridiplantae; Streptophyta; Magnoliopsida; Poales; Bromeliaceae.
UUGUAAAUUUUUCGUGUACUUUUUGAUCAUUUUUAAUUCUUACAUAAUACUAUUUAAUUAACUUUCCACUCAAUUCUAGAAAAUUACUAUCAUCUUAAUCACAUAUUUUUUGAUAUAAGGGCUGAAAAUCUAUCUACACUAAUAACUUGUAUUUUUAAAAGUAUAGAAGCUCAAUUCAAUUUUGACAAUAUAAAUAUUCAGUUAUUACUGACCGUCACUAAUGCAAGUAGCAACAUAUCAAGUUUGAAACCAAGUUGAUUCACAUUUUUAAUCAAAUGCACCAUUUCAAAUAUUAUAGUUGAAUUCACAUAAAGCUAAAACUGCAAUACAACAAUAAUUGUUCAUAGUCAAAUAAUUUGUAAGUGCAAAAAUAAAUUUAUAUAUAGACAUUAUUUUCUGCGCAAGUUAUAUACUGCUUCUAAUAAAACUCUUCUAAAUUCUCAUAGUAUAAAAGAAUUAACUUGAUGUAGAUCUUAUAUGAAUGCUCAUUACAUUAAAAACUUUAUCAUUCUAUAC